RNAcentral lists this ribosomal RNA (279 nucleotides) under uncultured bacterium. RNAcentral's name for it is "partial 16S ribosomal RNA". It matches the Rfam family "Bacterial small subunit ribosomal RNA", at positions 506 to 784 of the family's 1533-position model. The record is from RNAcentral.
UGCCAGCAGCCGCUGUAAUCCGAGGGUUGCUAUCGUUGUCCGGAAUAACUGGGCGUAAAGGGUCCGUAGGCGUUUUAUUAAGUUGAUUGUUAAAUCCACCGGCUUAACCGGUGAUCUGCAAUCAAAACUGAUAAAAUAGAAUAUGUGAGAGGAAUGUGGAAUUCCUGGUGUAGCGGUGACAUGCGUAGAUAUCAGGAGGAACACCAAUGGCGAAGGCAGCAUUCUGGCACAAUAUUGACGCUGAGGGACGAAAGCGUGGGGAGCGAACAGGAUUAGAUA